Molecule: small nuclear RNA, 23 nt
Filed under: Arabidopsis thaliana (thale cress)
Lineage: Eukaryota; Viridiplantae; Streptophyta; Magnoliopsida; Brassicales; Brassicaceae
Description: snRNA_11469
Source: RNAcentral
ACACGGACCAAGGAGUCUGACAU